Molecule: non-coding RNA, 1559 nt
Organism: Arachis ipaensis
Lineage: Eukaryota; Viridiplantae; Streptophyta; Magnoliopsida; Fabales; Fabaceae
Source: RefSeq, a predicted model, not a curated record
AAAAAUGCCAUUUAUAUUUUUGUCCCCCAAAAUCAGAGAACUCUAACUAUCCUAGGUUAUUCUCCUAAGUUCCAAUUAGAUUUCUCCUCCGUCGCACUCUGCUGCCGUCUUCCAUGGCGUCGUCGUCAUCCCUCUGCGUCGCCCACAGGUGCUUUGUUCUGCUCCGCUCGUCCGACUUGCCUAUUGCAUCCCUUCGUCCCGCCUUGUCUCAUGGCGCCUCGCGGUGCCUUGCCUCAAAUCGCCGCUCCUCAAAUCUUCCUCCUACUACACUAAGAACGGGAGAAAUGUUAUUCUUAAAAUACUUAGUAGUCAAACGGCACCUCCCAAUUCUAAUGCUUCGAUGUGUUGUUGGUGAGAGAUUUGGGGGCACAAUUGGCCUCUAUUCCCACUAGCAAUCAAGAAACUGAACUCACCAUUGACGAUGACUUUGAUAUCUCUGGAUUGAAGCCCCUCAAAGUCCCUACCAAGAUCUUCUUCAAACAUUCUUCCAUGGAUCCCCACAAAAAGGGUUCUGCAGAAGCUGAGUUUUUCACUAAGUAUGGAGAGGCAAGCCGAUACCAAAUCCACGAAGUCAUCGGGAAAGGAAGUUAUGGCGUCGUGGGCUCUGCCAUUGAUACUCAUACUGGGGAAAAAGUUGCAAUCAAGAAAAUCAAUGAUGUUUUUGAACAUGUAUCGGAUGCUACAAGAAUCCUAAGAGAAAUUAAGCUCCUGCGCUUGCUUCGCCAUCCUGAUAUAGUAGAAAUUAAACAUAUUAUGCUUCCUCCUUCCCGUCGAGAGUUUAAGGAUAUCUACGUUGUCUUUGAGUUGAUGGAAUCUGACCUUCAUCAAGUAAUCAAGGCAAACGAUGAUCUUACACCUGAGCAUCACCAAUUUUUCUUGUACCAACUUCUUCGAGGCCUCAAAUAUAUACAUACAAUAUACCCCUGCAAUUGAUAUCUGGAGCAUUGGAUGCAUAUUUGCAGAAAUGCUCAAUGAAAAGCCAUUGUUUCCGGGUAAAAAUGUGGUGCACCAAUUGGAUCUCAUGACCGAUUUGCUUGGCAGUCCUCCACCUGAGUCCAUUGCAAGGGUAGCAGCUAAUUAUGUAGUAAUGGUUCCUUCCGGAUAGGUAAAUCCACUGAUGAUAAAACUAUAUCAAUCUCAACUCAUCUUCAUGAAUUCCAAUAUUUAGAAUGAUGUUUCUUCCCGUGUAUUGUCUGAACCUCAUCCAAGAAAAGAAACGAAAGAUUAAUGCAGAAAAGAAGAGGAAAGAGCUCGAGAAGGAGAGAGCGAAGGAUGAACUUCUGACGAGAAAGCGCCAGAAUGCUUUGGUGUUGCUUUGUGAUUGUAGGUGGUCCAAAAGCAGUAUGUGCUGGUUGUGCUGGCUUUGCGGCAUUCUCAGUCGUUAUAGAGAAAUUCUUAGACAGGCAUGAGUAGUUACCUAUUGAAUUGAAGUCACCCAAUUUUGUAUUCAUUAGGCAUAGCAUGAAUUUUCAUAGUGAUAAUCUUUUGCCCAUUUGCUAAAGGGCGCAUACAAAAUUGUAGUAUUUUAUUUUACAUCAAUUAUUGUUUAUUUAUAUACA